GGGGAUUUAGCUCAGCGGCAUAAGCGCCUGCCUUGCAAGCAGGCAGUCUUGAGUUAAAUCCCUG
This 64-nucleotide transfer RNA is filed under the name Cavia porcellus (domestic guinea pig). It matches the Rfam family "tRNA". Rfam says of the family: Transfer RNA (tRNA) molecules are approximately 80 nucleotides in length. Their secondary structure includes four short double-helical elements and three loops (D, anti-codon, and T loops). The record is from Rfam by way of RNAcentral. Lineage: Eukaryota; Metazoa; Chordata; Mammalia; Rodentia; Caviidae.